GAUUUGGAAGAGGAUGUGCUUUCUUUCUCUCUCUGCCUCCUCUUGAGGCAGGUCCCUAGUGACCACUUUCCUCAGCAUCCCAGUGACGCAGGAAUGAAAGGAGAAAACAUCACAUUAGUAGGAGCAGCAUCAGGACCCUAAUCCGGCCACAAAGAUCAGAGAAGAGUACCCAGUGUCUGGACACGAAGCGUCUCUCACAGAGCAUUAUCUGGGAAGCUGCAUCAGGUGAAUCAGGACCAAGGACAGCAUCCUUUAUCAGAGCAAGGCCUGGAAUUAUGACCAGGGAGGAUCCUCCAGAUUGUGCCCCGGAGGAGAACCAGCACCCCCUUGAAUUCCAAAGUCCCAUCCUAGAGAAACGGAAAAGGCCAGUGGUUCACCACUCAGCCCCGGCUCCGCUCCCUAAGGAUUAUGCAUUCACAUUCUUUGACCCCAAUGACCCUGCGUGCCAGGAAAUCUUAUUUGAUCCAGAAACUAGUGUUCCUGAAUUGUUUGCAAUUAUCCGACAAUGGGUCCCGCAAGUCCAGCACAAGAUCGAUGUUAUCGGCAGUGAGAUCUUGAACAGGGGCGGUCACGUGAAUGACAGGGAUGGACUUACAGACAUGACCUUAUUACACUACGCAUGCAAAGCUGGAGCACAUGGUGUGGGGGACCCUGCGGCUGCUGUCCGUCUGACCAGUCAGCUUCUCCUGCUGGGGGCAGAUGUCACUCUGCGCAGCCGCUGGACCAAUAUGAACGCCCUGCACUAUGCCGCCUAUUUUGAUGUCCCAGAACUUUUACGCAUCUUACUCAAAGCAUCAAAACCUAAAGUGCUAAAUUCCACCUGCAGUGAUUUCAACCAUGGUACUGCCCUGCAUAUUGCUGCAUCUAAUCUCUGUCUGGGAGCUGUCAAAUGUCUGCUGGAACAUGGAGCCAACCCGUCUGUCAGGAACAGUAAGGGCCAGGUCCCAUCGGAUGUGGUUCCUGACCCCAUGGAUAUGGGGCUAGACAAGGCCGAGUCUGCCAUGAUUGCUAAGGAACUGAGGCAGCUGCUGCAGGAUGCUGUGCCCUUGACUUGCAACCUGCCCAAGGUCACACUGCCAAACUACGAUAACAUCCCUGGUAACUUGAUGCUGGCAUCGUUGGGGUUGCGGCUAGGUGACCGGGUGCUGCUGGACGCAGAAAAGGCUGGCACACUACGCUUCUGUGGCACCACCGAAUUUGCCAGUGGGCAGUGGGUGGGGGUGGAGCUGGAUGAGCCAGAAGGGAAGAAUGACGGCAGCGUGGGAGGUAUCCGCUACUAUGUCUGCCCCCCCAAACAUGGAAUAUUUGCUUCUGUGUCCAAGAUCAGUAAAGCUCCAGGUCAAACCCCAUCCUCUGUUACUUCCACACCAAAGACCCCACGUAUGGACUUCUCCAGAGUGACUGGCAAAGGGAGAAAGGAGAAAAAAGCAGCAACACAGAAAAAGUCUAUCAGCGUGGGAAGCCUGGACAGAGAGGGGCUGAAUAUCGACCUGGGGGACCAAGUGCUCGUAGCUGGACAGAAACAGGGGGUAAUACGGUUCUAUGGCAAGACAGACUUUGCUCCAGGAUACUGGUUUGGAAUUGAACUUGAAAAACCCACAGGAAAACAUGACGGUUCUGUGUUUGGUGUCCGAUAUUUCACCUGCUCCCCAAAAUAUGGAGUAUUUGCUCCGCCCUCCAGGGUUCAGAGGCUCGGUGGUCCAAAAGACCCACAAGUGGACAGUGGUGUGAAAAAGGUGCAUCAAGUUACUAGUAGUGACACAACCAAAGCGUAACUUCAACACCGUACGGACACCGAAAGAGAUGGCGUCGGAAAAUUCUAUCUCCAGGUUGCUGUUCUGCUGUUGGUUUCCCUGGCUGCUUCGGGCUGAGAUGCGAUCUUAACCCUCUCUUCCACCAGCCCUGCAACUUCUAAGCCCUGCCAUUUGGAGCCACAGACUGCCUCCUCCUUCUGUCUGUCUCCCGACUCCCCAGUGCCUUGUCCAAUGUUCCUCUGAUACAGAGGCCCCUCUGUGUGUCACUGUUCCAUUCAGUGCAGAAGAAAUUCCUGGAGGAGGGGGUGAUUACAUUCCUGCUUCAUUCUGGUCUUACUCGCUUCUCUGCCAGAACCUUCUGCUGGACAGCCGGGGUUGGCACCACCUCUGUCCCUUCUCUAACUGCCAUUUACUCUGUUACCUUACAAGGAACUACACCCACAAAAUCCUGCUCCUGACACUCCGCAACAUCACUCAUAUCCCUACUGAUAAGACACUUCCACUAAGCAUUUGAUGGAACCAUCUACUCAUCCUCAUUAGUCCACUGAACCCCAACUAGAUCAUAUAGGCUUGGCCAAACCGCCGGUUCUAUGAUAUAUUGCCUGGCACCGCACAUGUGCCAUAAACUUGCGUCAUCUUGUACAAGAACGUGGAUGUGAUGAGAAAAAUGUCCACAGUCCCCUAAGGGUAUAGUUUGUUUUUCCAGUUAGAACAAAAACUAAGAACAGAUAAGAGACCAGAGUUGAUAGGAAGACAGAGUUGAUAGGAAGACAACAGAUAAAUUGUGUCACUGGCUGUAUCCUCUGCACACAGCUUUGGCAGCCACUUUGUGAGUUAUACCAGUGGUCCUUGCAUGCCAUCCAGUUACUAAGAGCUAGCAUCAUCACUGAGGCAAGGAAUGGGCCACUGUAACUGUAGAAGCUCCGUAUAAUUACUAGGAAAUGUAACACUCCAUUCCCUAUACUUAGUCACCUACCAGUACCGAGCCUGGUCUCUUGUAGGAUUACUGAAGUUGUAAAACACGUCAGAUGUAUAGAUGAACUUGGAACUGCAGCUGAUUCUGAGUGGGAUGCGGGUCCAAAUGUGGGCACAUUCCAUGGCGGACGGCAAGCGUGGUAGAAAGCAAUAGUAGACUAUACAACUGCAACCAUGAAUACGCACACAGAUGGAGACUGAGAGAGCGGAUGGAUUAAUCUGUCCGUGGACAUUCUGUGAAAUGGGCGUUUCUGGGCAGUGACCGUUUGAUGGCGCCUCGUGGGAGUGUCAUGGCUCCCUUGCUCGUUUGAAGCAGAUGGAGCGCCUGUUUCUGCUGGAUCUUUUUGCACCCAGCAUGGGGUGUGUGUACAGUAAACAGCAAUACUACUGAUGACAUGAAAACAGUGGGCGGGCUGGGAAGCUGCAUGAAGGCUGAUGGAUCAUCAGCAUACAUGAGGGGAUACUAGCAUUAGCAUAAGAUAGCAAGCAGGCAGAAUAGCAGUUCCUGGUGCACCCAACUCAGAAUCAGGCCCUUUGCCUCUACUAACAUGUUGGAUUUGCACAAUCGGUAUGUACUUCAGGUCUUUCCGCUGUAGACUCCCACAUCUCUCCAGGACUCCAAGCAUUGGCCUUUUAUACCAUGUGAAUUUACAGAGACAUAAGUCUGUCAUCAACUCUGUAAUCUGUGAUGUCUCAAUUGGCCUCUAUCAUCCUGUCUCUAGUUUGUGAGGUUUCACUCAGUCUCUGUAAUGCCGCCGAUGGUCUGGGGCGUCUCACUCUAUCACUGUUUUCUUGUUGUUGGUGUUCAACGUGUCAGUGUAUUUCUGUUAUCCUGUCUUUGCUCUGCAGUGUCUCAGUCAGUCACUAUUAUACCAUCUCUAGUAACCUGUGAUGUCAUCAUAUUUCUGUUAUACCAUGUCUUCUGUGUUAUAUCUCAGCAUGUUUCUAGACACUCGUGUCUCAAUCUCUUACCAUUAUGCUGUUUUUAGUCUGCUACUGUUCUUCUUAUCUAUCUGCAGUUGAGUGAUUUAUGCCUCUCUUCAUAGACUUCUGUCCUGAACCUGUGACCUCUCUCUCAUUGUGUACACAGUGGGAUACAUAUCUAUCUCUCCUGUCCAUUGUCUGUCUCAAUUUAGAACAUCCUUUCUCUAAUGUCUCCCAAUUAUUGGUGUUGUCAUCCUAUACCUAGUCAGUGAAUAUUUUGAUUUCUUCCUGUCAUCUUCUGCCUGGUCUAGUCUGUGAUGUUCCCAUCAUGUGUUUUCUCUGUCAAACUCCUAACAUUAUGUAUUUUCUAUCAAAUACUUAUCAUCCUGUGUCUUCUCUGUGAUGUUCCUAUCAUCCUGUCUUCUCUGUGAUGUUCCUAUCACCCUGUGUCUUCUCUGUGAUGUUCCUAUCGCCCUGUGUCUUCUCUGUCAUGUUCCUAUCACCCUGUGUCUUCUGUCAUGCUUCUAUCGCCCUGUGUCUUCUCUGUCAUGUUCCUAUCAUCCUGUGUCUUCUCUGUCGUGUUCCUAUCGCCCUGUGUCUUCUCUGUGAUGUUCCUAUCACCCUGUCUUCUCUGUGAUGUUCCUAUCACCCUGUGUCUUCUCUGUGAUGUUCCUAUCGCCCUGUGUCUUCUCUGUCAUGUUCCUAUCACCCUGUGUCUUCUGUCAUGCUUCUAUCGCCCUGUGUCUUCUCUGUCAUGUUCCUAUCAUCCUGUGUCUUCUCUGUCGUGUUCCUAUCGUCCUGUGUCUUCUCUGUCGUGUUCCUAUCGCCCUGUGUCUUCUCUGUGAUGUUCCUAUCGUCCUGUGUCUUCUCUGUGAUGUUCCUAUCAUCCUGUGUCUUCUCUGUGAUGUUCCUAUCAUCCUGUGUCUUCUCUGUGAUGUUCCUAUCAUCCUGUGUCUUCUCUGUGAUGUUCCUAUCAUCCUGUGUCUUCUCUGUGAUGUUCCUAUCAUCCUGUGUCUUCUCUGUGAUGUUCCUAUCAUCCUGUGUCUUCUCUGUGAUGUUCCUAUCAUCCUGUGUCUUGAUGUUCCUAUCAUCCUGUGUCUUCUCUGUGAUGUUCCUAUCAUCCUGUGUCUUCUCUGUGAUGUUCCUAUCAUCCUGUCUCUUCUCUGUGGUGUUCCUAUCAUCCUGUGUCUUCUCUGUCAUGUUCUUAUCACCCUGUGUCUUCUCUGUGAUGUUCCUAUCGCCCUGUGUCUUCUGUCAUGUUCCUAUUGCCCUGUGUUGUCUCGGUCGUGUUCCUAUCAUCCUGUGUCUUCUGUCAUGUUCCUAACACCCUGUGUCUUCUGUCAUGCUCCUAUCAUCCUGUGUCUUCUCUGUCGUGUUGCUAUCAUCCUGUGUCUUCUGUCAUAUUCUUAUAAUUCCCAGUCUACUCUGUCAUAUUCAUACCAUCCUGUGCCUAUUAUGUGAUGUUUCCAUCAUCCUGAGUCUACUCUGAUAUUCCCAUAUAUCUGUGUCUACUCUGAGAUGCUCCUAUAAUCCUGUAUCUUGUGGGAUGUUCCCAUCAUCCUGUAUCUUCUCUGUGAUUUUACCACCAUACCUUGUCUUCUCUGCCGUAGUGUGUGAAUGCUCUGUAUCUUCCUAUUAUCCUGGCCUUAGUCUGUGAUAGUUGGUAUCUUCCUAUCAUCCUGGCCUUAGUGUGUGAUAGCUCUGUAUCUUAUCAUCCUGCCCCUAGUGUAUGAUAGCUGGGUAUCUUCUUAUCAUCCUGCCCCUAGUGUAUGAUAGCUGGGUAUCUUCCUCUUCCCAUAAUCCUGGCUUUAGUGUGUAAUAGCUUGGUAUAUUCCUAUCAUUCUGUAUGUAGUCUAUGAUAGCUCUGUAUCUUUCCGUCAGACUGACCAUAUUGUGUGAUAGCUCAGUAUCUUCCUAUAUUCUUGUAUCUAGUCUGUAAAUGCUCGGUAUCUUCCUAUCAUCUUGCCUCUAGUCUGUGUAUGUUCUGUAUCUGCCUAUCAUCCUGGCCCUAGUGUGCGAUAGUUUGGUACAGUAUUUUCCCAUCAUCCUGCCUCUAGUCUGUGAUAGCUCGGUAUGUUCCUAACAUCCUGGCCCUAGUGUGCGAUAGUUUGGUACAGUAUUUUCCCAUCAUCCUGCCUCUAGUCUGUGAUAGCUCGGUAUGUUCCUAACAUCCUGGCCCUAGUGUGCGAUAGUUUGGUACAGUAUUUUCCCAUCAUCCUGCCUCUAGUCUGUGAUAGCUUGGUACAGUAUAUUCCUAUCAUCCUGCCUCUAGUCUGUGAAUGCUCGGUAUCUUCCUAUCAUCCUGGCCCUAGUGUGCGAUAGCUCUGUAUCUUCCUAUCGUCCUGCCUUUAGUCUGUGAUAGAUUGGUACAGUAUAUUCUUAUCAUCCUGCCUCUAGUCUGUGAUAGCUCGGUAUCUUCCUAUCAUCCCGACCCUAGUGUGUGAUAGCUCUGUAUCUUCCGAUCAUCCUGGCCCUAGUGUGUGAUAGCUCGGUACAAGCUUGGACUGGCCCACAGGGGUACGGGGAAACCACCGGUGGGCCCCUCUGCAUGGGCCCCCCACCUCUUGCUCUAAGGAUCAGGUUCCAGACUGUGCACUUGAAAUAUACAUUAUACAUAUGAAAUCUUAUACUGGGCUGUGGUGUAUAUCAUCCUGGCCCUAGUGUGUGAUAGCUUGAUAUCUUCCUAUAAUCCUGGACCUAGUCUGAGAUAGCUCGGUAUCUUCCUAUCAUCCUGGCCUUAGUGUGUUAUAGCUCAUUAUCUUCCAGGCUGUAGUCUGUGAUAGCUCUGUAUCUUCCUAUCAUCCUGGCCCUAGUGUGUGAUAGCUCUGUAUCUUCUUAUAAUCCUGGACCUAGUCUGAGAUAGCUCGGUAUCUUCAUAUCAUCCUGGCCUUAGUGUGUUAUAGCUCAUAAUCUUCCUAUCAUCCAGGCUGUAGUCUGUGAUAGCUCUGUAUCUUCCUGUCAGCCUGACCCUAUUGUGUCAUAGUUCGGAAUCUUCAUAUCAUGCUGUAUCUAAUCUGUGAUAGCUCUGCAUCUUCCUAUCAUUCUGUAUCUAGUCUGUAAUAGCUCAGUAUCUUUCUAUCAUCCUGUAUCUAGUCUGUGAUAGCUCGGUAUCGUCCUAUUAUACUGGCCCUAGUCUGUGACAGCUCAGUAUCUUACUAGCAUCCUGACUCUAGUCUUCCUAUCAGCUUUUUUUCUAGUAUCUUUUUUUGUGUGUCCUAGUUGCAAUAACUCUGUUCCCUAUUAGGCGAGUUGGUUCCAGUGCCGGGUGUGUUGUUCUGAAGACACUGCCCACAGACCUGACCUAAGACACCUUGUCACCCCAUGCAUAACUAACUAGUCACCGCAUGCAUCCCCUCCUCUGUACAUAGACUGGGGUAUUCCGUGUGCUGUGAGUGAUGAGUAUCUCUGUACAUUGUGCUAAGUGUUAGCUAGCACACCCCACCUGGGGUUUAAUGGGCUAUUCAGAAUGCAGGGAGGCUCUUACACCGUCUAUAGAGCAUAUAUACAGAUGGCAACUUAUGUAGAACAUGCAAUAUAUGGUUACUUUUGAAAUGUAAGGACCAACGUAGAGUACAUACACAGUGGUAGUGAUCUGUAUAGUUAUAUAUAUAUAUAUAUAUUCAUGCAGUAGAUUGACUACCUGUGUACAGAUAUGGAAGCAGUCACAUAUAUGUGGAGGUAUAUAGGACACCUUUGUGAGGAAGUGUAUUAAUAUAUGACCCCUGUGGGCAGACGUCACUAAUUCUCUCAUAUAGCAGAUCCCGCAUAUUCUCCUUGAAACCUAUUCUGGGGCCUGUUCCUGUAACCCUGCGUAAAAUUUUGUGAUCUGCCUGUAACUUGUGGUCUUACUAACCUUGUAUAUGGGACAUGUGGAUGUAUGUCAGAUAAUAAACUGAUUUAAAUAUU
RNA transcript from Pseudophryne corroboree (corroboree frog), 7559 nucleotides. It is a transcript of the gene named CAP-Gly domain containing linker protein 3, with no coding region annotated. The record is from RefSeq and is a predicted model, not a curated record. The transcript has 15 exons. NCBI's taxonomy places the organism in Eukaryota, Metazoa, Chordata, Amphibia, Anura, Myobatrachidae.